This is a non-coding RNA of Orchesella cincta, 46 nucleotides long. Lineage: Eukaryota; Metazoa; Arthropoda; Collembola; Entomobryomorpha; Orchesellidae. The record is from Rfam.
AAAUAGGCCUUUCACAAGGCCACUCAUGUUGACAUACAGUAGACGU